UACGAAGGGGGCUAGCGUUUUUCGGAAUCACUGGGCGUAAAGCGCACGCAGGCGGAUCGAUAAGUCGGGGGUGAAAGCCCGGGGCUCAACCUGGGAAUUGCCUUCGAUACUGUCGGUCUCGAGUCCGGGAGAGGUGAGUGGAAUUCCUGGUGUAGAGGUGAAAUUCGUAGAUAUUAGGAAGAACACCAGUGGCGAAGGCGGCCCCCUGGACCAAUACUGACGCUGAGGUGCGAAAGCGUGGGGAGCAAACAGG
This 253-nucleotide ribosomal RNA is filed under the name uncultured bacterium. Its description in RNAcentral is "partial 16S ribosomal RNA". It matches the Rfam family "Bacterial small subunit ribosomal RNA", at positions 524 to 776 of the family's 1533-position model. The record is from RNAcentral.